Molecule: ribosomal RNA, 516 nt
Filed under: Neogloboquadrina incompta
Lineage: Eukaryota; Foraminifera; Rotaliida; Globorotaliidae
Description: bacterial SSU rRNA
Rfam family: Eukaryotic small subunit ribosomal RNA
Source: RNAcentral
GGAGCAUGUGGCUUAAUUUGACUCAACGCGGGAAAUCUUACCAGGUCCGGACACACUGAGGAUUGACAGGAAGUAUCGUCUUUUGAAUUCUUUAAGGAUAUGUCGUUUUUAAUGACAUCUUUUAGAUGGAUGAUUCGUGUAAAUAUGCUAGUUCUUUCAUGAUUAUGUGAUAGGUGGUGCAUGGCCGUUCUUAGUUCGUGGAGUGAUCUGUCUGCUUAAUUGCGUUUCACUAAGGCCCCAAAGUUAGCAAAUUAUCAAUCGUUACAGAGUCGACCCCUCACCUUUGAGUGCGCGUCCUAACUUGUAGUACAUGGUGUAAAUGGAUUUGUUUUGGGUACCCAGAAAGCAACGAACGUGACCGCAACGUCUUGUUGUCUCUCUUUGACAGUUAUGGGUUAUCCCAGUCAUGUGUUUAUACUUUUAUGUGUAAAUACGUACGACACAGAGACUAGAUACCAAACUAGGCGGACCGCUGUAUCAUUUCUUUAAACCAGAGGAAGGUUGCGGCAAUAACAG